GGCAACAGCUCAAAUUUGAAAUCUGGCCCCCUCGGGGCCCGAGUUGUAAUUUGUAGAGGAUGCUUCUAGGCAGCGGCCGGUCUAAGUUCCUUGGAACAGGACGUCACAGAGGGUGAGAAUCCCGUAUGUGACCGGUUGGCACCUUACACGUAGCUCCUUCGAC
Molecule: ribosomal RNA, 163 nt
Filed under: Eriosporella sp.
Lineage: Eukaryota; Fungi; Ascomycota; Dothideomycetes; Capnodiales
Description: partial large subunit ribosomal RNA
Rfam family: Eukaryotic large subunit ribosomal RNA
Source: RNAcentral